CAGCUCACCAGCGCUGACACUGAGAGCAGUCUUUGAGUGCUCAGAUUUGGAAUCCCACCACUGGUAAUCUUCCCAAGCAAUCAUCUAGAUACAAAGAAAGAAGAACCACAUAGAAGCAAGACUGCAGUAGGAAUUGAGGCAUGGAACUACACGUCCCGUCAUUGCCUUCUACCCUUUAUAGUGGACAUUUUUGACAUGGCCAUUUCAAAAUAUGACACGGUUCUUAAAAUGUGGAACAUUGAGUGCUCAGCAAAUAAAUAGCAAUGGUUUUAUAAAAGAUCAUUGCAAUAUGAAACACACUUCAUAGACAUGCCAAGGCAAUAUAAUUCAGGAACUGCUGCUGUUAUGAAAGACACAAACAGAUCAAAAUAGAUGGGAGGAAAAUUAAAGACCCGGAAACCUGUUUCCAAGGAGACUCACCUGUGUGGGUGGGCCAAGGGGAAAGGAACAAGAAGGCUUCACUUCGCUACCAAAAGACGGAGCAGUACCUGACAAACUGAGCCAGAUGUAGGUGGGGAAGGAAGAAGUUUAAAAGCUCCUUUUGAACUGUUGGAAAAACACUUCUGGCUUUACAAGCCCCAAGAUGAGUUUAUAAUAAGACUCCCUCUGGCAUCUUGAUUUCUGUCUGUUUCCUAAUUGUUUCUCAUAAUCUACAAUGUCUUACCUACCAGACCUGGGAGUUUAGGGCGUAAGCAAGCAGCAUGAGAAAUAAGAGGUGUAUUUAUAGCAUAGGAUGAAACUUUUGCUGCAGAGGAAUAUUUUGUGUAUAAAGACCCACCUGGGAAGAGUCAGUUUGGACAUUCCAAGUCUUAAAAUAAACCAUAAAGCAACCCAAGGGCCAUCUCUGAGUUACUGGUUACAAACUCAGACGGUAACUUAAUCAAGCUAGAUUAAAAUGUCUCAUUUUGUAGGCACCCAUGGCCAUUCUUCAAGAAAAAAACUGACCACGUUGCUAGCCAUCACUAUGGUAUUUGGCUCCAAUCUUGACUGCAGAAAAUAUGACUUCAGUAACAGAGUUGUUAAUACUUGGAAUACACUACCAGACUCUGUGGUCUCCUCCCAAAAUCCCCAAAGCUUUAACCAAAGACUAUCUACUGUUGACCUCACCCCUUUCCUAAGAGGUCUGUAAGGGGCGAGCAUAAGAGCACCAGUGUGCCUAUCGUUCCUGUCCUAAUGUUUCCUUUCAUUAUAUCCAAUUAAUAUAGUUAUUACUUACUUAUGCUUAUAUAUAUGCUUAUAUACUGUAUAGUUAUUUCAUGCUUAUGCUUAUAUAUA
This is a long non-coding RNA of Ahaetulla prasina, 1275 nucleotides long. RefSeq lists it as uncharacterized. The record is from RefSeq and is a predicted model, not a curated record. Lineage: Eukaryota; Metazoa; Chordata; Lepidosauria; Squamata; Colubridae. The transcript is spliced from 4 exons.